RNAcentral lists this ribosomal RNA (294 nucleotides) under uncultured bacterium. RNAcentral's name for it is "partial 16S ribosomal RNA". It matches the Rfam family "Bacterial small subunit ribosomal RNA", at positions 775 to 1067 of the family's 1533-position model. The record is from RNAcentral.
GGAUUAGAUACCCUGGUAGUCCACGCCCUAAACGAUGAGAACUAGACGUUGGGUUCAAUUAAGGACUUAGUGUCGCAGCUAACGCGAUAAGUUCUCCGCCUGGGGAGUACGGCCGCAAGGUUGAAACUCAAAGGAAUUGACGGGGGCCCGCACAAGCGGUGGAGCAUGUGGUUUAAUUCGAUGCAACGCGAAGAACCUUACCAGCCCUUGACAUCCUCGGAACUUGGUAGAGAUACCUUGGUGCCUUCGGGAACCGAGUGACAGGUGCUGCAUGGCUGUCGUCAGCUCGUGCCG